RNAcentral lists this non-coding RNA (152 nucleotides) under fish gut metagenome. The record is from RNAcentral.
AACGUGCUAUACUAAUAGGGAAUCCGAUUUGAUUUCGGAGCUGUACCCGCAGCUGUAAUCCUCGUGAAAAUUUACAUAAUCAUCGCCACUGUUAUAAUAAUAAUGGGAAGGCAUGUAAAUUGAGGUAGCCAGAAGACCUGCCAAAAUACUUU